This 510-nucleotide ribosomal RNA is filed under the name uncultured bacterium. RNAcentral's name for it is "partial 16S ribosomal RNA". It matches the Rfam family "Bacterial small subunit ribosomal RNA", at positions 28 to 507 of the family's 1533-position model. The record is from RNAcentral.
GACGAACGCUGGCGGCGUGCUUAACACAUGCAAGUCGAACGAAGAGCGACGGAAGCUUGCUUCUAUCAAUCUUAGUGGCGAACGGGUGAGUAACGCGUAAUCAACCUGCCCUUCAGAGGGGGACAACAGUUGGAAACGACUGCUAAUACCGCAUACGAUCUAACCUCGGCAUCGAGGAUAGAUGAAAGGUGGCCUCUACAUGUAAGCUAUCACUGAAGGAGGGGAUUGCGUCUGAUUAGCUAGUUGGAGGGGUAACGGCCCACCAAGGCGAUGAUCAGUAGCCGGUCUGAGAGGAUGAACGGCCACAUUGGGACUGAGACACGGCCCAGACUCCUACGGGAGGCAGCAGUGGGGAAUCUUCCGCAAUGGACGAAAGUCUGACGGAGCAACGCCGCGUGAGUGAUGACGGCCUUCGGGUUGUAAAGCUCUGUUAAUCGGGACGAAAGGCCUUCUUGCGGAUAGUGAGAAGGAUUGACGGUACCGGAAUAGAAAGCCACGGCUAACUACGUG